Molecule: ribosomal RNA, 1395 nt
Filed under: metagenome
Description: bacterial SSU rRNA
Rfam family: Bacterial small subunit ribosomal RNA
Source: RNAcentral
AGAGUUUGAUUCUGGCUCAGAUUGAACGCUGGCGGCAUGGCUAAAACAUGCAAGUCGAACGCGAAAGGGGGCAACCCCAAGUAGAGUGGCGAAAGGGCGAGUAAUGCGUUUCUAAUGUACCUCAGACUCGGGGAUAGCUCACCGAAAGGUGAAUUAAUACUCGAUGAUACUGCCGGAUCGUAUGAUCUGGUUUUCAAAGGCUUGCUGGUCUGAGAUCAGGGAACGUCCUAUCAGGUAGUUGGUAAGGUAACGGCUUACCAAGCCUAAGACGGGUAGCGGGUGUGAGAGCACGGCCCGCCGCAUCGGGACUGAGACACUGCCCGGACUCCUACGGGAGGCUGCAGUAACGAAUAUUCCACAAUGCGCGAAAGCGUGAUGGAGCGAUGCCGCGUGCAGGAUGAAGCCCUUCGGGGUGUAAACUGCUGUCAGGGAUUACCAACACAAUGAGGAAUCCCAGAGGAAGAGGCGGCUAACUCUGUGCCAGCAGCCGCGGUAAUACAGAGGCCUCGAGCGUUAAUCGGAAUUACUGGGCUUAAAGGGUGCGUAGGCGGAGCGAUAAGUGCCUUGUGAAAUCCCAUGGCUCAACCAUGGAAUUGCUCGGUAGACUAUCGUUCUUGAGGUAGGUAGGGGUCACUGGAACUCUAGGUGGAGCGGUGAAAUGCGUAGAUAUCUAGAGGAACGCCGAUGGUGAAGACAGGUGACUGGGCCUAUUCUGACGCUGAUGCACGAAAGCGUGGGGAGCAAACGGGAUUAGAUACCCCGGUAGUCCACGCCCUAGAAACUAUGUGUACUGGAUCGCAGAGACUAAUACGUCAUUGUGGUCGAAGUAAAAACGUUAAGUACACCGCCUGGGGAGUACGGUCGCAAGGCUAAAACUCAAAGAAAUUGACGGGGGCUCACACAAGCGGUGGAGCAUGUGGCUUAAUUCGAAACAACGCGAAGAACCUUAUCCUGGGCUUGACAUGUAUGGAUUAGCAGGCGGAAACGUCUGUGAGGCUCUUUGAGUACAACAUACACAGGUGCUGCAUGGCUGUCGUCAGCUCGUGCUGUGAAGUGUCGGGUUAAGUCCCUUAACGAGCGAAACCCCUGUCGCUAGUUGCCACCAGGUAAUGCUGAGCACUCUAGCGAGACUGCCGGUGUCAAACCGGAGGAAGGUGGGGAUGACGUCAAGUCCUCAUGGCCUUUAUGCCCAGGGCUGCGCACGUGCUACAAUGGUGCGGUACAAAGCGAAGCGAGACCGUAAGGUGGAGCAAAUCGCAUAAAACGCACCCAGUUCAGAUUGAGGUCUGCAACUCGACCUCAUGAAGACGGAAUCGCUAGUAAUCGCGGAUCAGCUACGCCGCGGUGAAUGUGUUCCUGAGCCUCGUACACACCGCCCGUCAAGUCAUGGGAGCC